Non-coding RNA from Hypoxylon sp. NC1633, 127 nucleotides. Lineage: Eukaryota; Fungi; Ascomycota; Sordariomycetes; Xylariales; Hypoxylaceae. The record is from the annotation of a GenBank genome assembly.
ACCCGAUUGGCACAAUUGGCUAGCGCGUUAGACUGUGUGUUAAUCUUGGCCCGAUUACAAUGUAAUUCUCACUAACAGUUUACUUAGUUUAAUCUAAAGGUUAUGGGUUCGACCCCCAUAUCGGGUG